GCGUGAGAGGCUGCGGCUCCGUGCGCGCGCCCUGUCGCGGAGGGGAACAGCGGGCGCGCGGGUCCUGCCUGGAGCCGGCCGCGCGUGGGUUGGAGUUAGCAGAGCGGGGUGCGCCCGGAGCUGGUGCAGGGCAGCGGGCCGGGGCGGGGGCGCGGACACAGGGUGCAUGUCCCGUAGUGAUGCUGUGCCAGCCCGUGCGUUUGCUGCCCAUGGGCCGUUGGUUUGUGUGUGGGGGGGGGUUUCCCUUUGCAAUGCGAGAUGAUAGUUGAUCUUAUUAGUCCUCCGUUAAACAAGUGUCUUUGCUUUCAGCCUUGCCGAGAAACUGUCUGGUGCUUAAAUGAGAAAAAAUCCCAAGCCAGAUUCAGAACAGAAACAGAAGUGACCCAAAAUCACAGCCUCCUUUCUAGUGCAGUAAGUUUGUACACUUGGUCAGCUCUGUAAAUGGAAGGUCUCAGUGCACCAGGUCAUGCUAUUUGUGAAGUUACAUCUGGAAGGAAGGCUGAGGAAAGCCACAAUGGAGAAGUACUGAAUCUUUCUAUUGUAAAAUAAAGUUUUUAUAGAGCAGCCAUACCUCAAGUCAAGGACUGAGAAGGUGAGGACAUUCUACAGGGCUUCCAGAGGGAUAAUGACAUUGGCCAUCUAAAUUGUGUAAACUUGACUGAGAAUCAGAAGAAGGACAUCUUAGCAACUCGGAAGUUGCCUCCUUCAAAUUUCAGUUUCCUAAAACACUAAUGGGCUCAGGAGCUAGUCAGAAAUAUCGUUGUUGCAGAGUGCAGCUCUUACAAGGGUAUAAAUUUGCACAUUACUCCAGACAUCUGGUUGCUGUGUUCUGUGAGCGUUCUUUGUGUUUAACAACAGCAAGGAAGCAGUCUUGAUUUCGAUUCCCUUGAAAGACUGGUCCAAUGGCAAGAAAAUACUUGAGAGACAUAGCAAAUCCAAAGAACAUGUUCUCGCUAUAGCAAAGUCAGAUGAAUUCAUUGCAUUUGAGCACAAGAAAAAGUUGACAGACUGCAAUCAGCAUGCUCUGAAACAAAUAGUUAAAAUUACCAUCCUUUGUGGAAGGCAGAACAUUUUAAUGAGGUGAGAGGUAAUAAACACUAAGAUUAUACAUGCGCUUUCAUGUUAUAUCACAGGACUGGACCCUAAUUUGAAAGAGCAGCUUAGUUAUAGACCCUAUAGUACAGUGGACAUAUCAGAACAAACGCAAAAUGAGCUCACAAAAUUGGUAGGAGUCCAUAUACGGAGAAAGAUUAUAGAGAGUAAAAGCAGCACCAUUUUUCAGUUUAAUUGCUGAUGCAGCUAGUGCUUGUCUAGCAAAAGAAAACAUUUCACUGGCUAUACGUUACAUCCACUGAAAUGAAGAUGGGCAAGUAGAACUCCAUGAAGACUUCAUUGAUUUUAUAGAAGCCUUUGAUACAACACAAAGCCUUACAGAGCUUUUCAUGGCUAGAAUAGCCCCUUGGGGGGUUACAGAAGGAACUGCUGAGGGGCUAUGGCUGUAACAUGGUGAGCAAUAUAAGUGGUCAGAAGGCAAGAAUUUGUGAAAUCCUUCCAGCAGCAAUGCACUCAGCCUGCAGGAUGCACAAGCUGAACACAGCAAUUGUUCACUCUUGUGCAGUGCAACAAGUGGCUAACUUUUUUGAUGCUUUCUCCAAAAUCAUAACCACGCUGAAAGCUGUUGUAAAGUAUCCUAGCAUUCAGCCUACAGAGCUGCAGGAGCUCAUAGGCUUGUUGAAUAAACUCUGUGAGAAAGAAGAGGAUCAAAUUAUGGAGGGCGUGCCUUUGGAUUGCAGCACACAAUGGAUGAGUCAGAUGGGUACAAUGAGUAGCUUCAAAACAGUCUGUUGUGGUUGUUGAUUACUUAGAGAAAAUAGUUGAUAAUGAUGGUGAUGCUGAGAGAUUGUUGUAUUUCAUCACGAAAUUUGACUUUCUGGUUAAUAUGGUGUGCGUUGAAAACGUACUUUCAUGUACAAAAUCUCUGCACGUAUGUAUGCAGCAUUGUACUGUAUAUCUAAUUUAUGUAUUGGAUGAAGCAAAUAUUAUUCUUCAUAGACUCAGGAGAUUGAGAGCGGAUGACAACCCACAUUUUGCUUCCCUGUAUGCUGAAGUGAAAUGUUCGGCUGAUGCUGUUUCUGUUGAAGAGUCACUUCCAACCACACGUGGCGGAAAAAUGCAUUAUGAUAACAUCGGUGCCACAGAUCUUAGAGAAUAUGACAGGAGGAAUGUAUUCAUUCCAUUCCUGGACCAUGUAAUUUCAGAGCUUCAGAAGCAAGUGAUAGACUGCUCUUCACGUUUUCUUGCUCAGAUCCUUGUGCCAGAUAAACUUCAUGUAUUAGAGAAUGAAAAUACGGUGAUGGCUCUGAAUGAUGCAUACAAAGUGGACCUUUCUAACCUUGAUAAUUUUAAAGCAGAACUCAAAGAUGGCAUGAAAAAUGGAUAGACAUUCCAAGGGAUGAACAGCCAAACAGCAUUCUCAGUACUCUUCAAGAGCUGAUGCCAGCAUCCUAUCCUGAUCUCAACAUUGCCCUCUCUGUUGGGCCACCAUGCCAAUCAAUGUUGCUUUGGAAAACAUAUAAGGAUAUUGCAGACAGUCAAGACAUGGCUAAAAAGCUCUUUAUGUGAAAGUCAACUCACAGAGCUGGCUUUAAUACAUCAAGAUACUGAUAGUGAUGUGGUUCAGAUUUUGGAAGAUUUUUACUCCUCUAAACAUUAGCAAAAUGGUUUUGCUAAUGAGAGAAGGAUUCUGAGUGUGGCACAGAGAACAAGGGCCUUGCUGUGAAACAGCUGUACCCUUGAUUUUCUGUCCCUGUAGGUGGUGUAAUGAAAUAGUUCAAAUGUAUCUGAAAUUUAGUUUUUGUGAUGA
Chelonia mydas (Green sea turtle) is the source of this 2863-nucleotide long non-coding RNA. RefSeq lists it as uncharacterized. NCBI's taxonomy places the organism in Eukaryota, Metazoa, Chordata, Testudines, Cheloniidae. The record is from RefSeq and is a predicted model, not a curated record. The transcript has 2 exons.